GCCUGGCUAGCUCAGUCGGUAGAGCAUGAGACUCUUAAUGUCAGGGUCGUGGGUUCAAGCCCCACGUUGGGCA
Molecule: transfer RNA, 73 nt
Filed under: Danio rerio (zebrafish)
Lineage: Eukaryota; Metazoa; Chordata; Actinopteri; Cypriniformes; Danionidae
Description: tRNA-Lys (CTT) (tRNA-Lys-CTT-99-1)
Rfam family: tRNA
About the family: Transfer RNA (tRNA) molecules are approximately 80 nucleotides in length. Their secondary structure includes four short double-helical elements and three loops (D, anti-codon, and T loops).
Source: Rfam by way of RNAcentral